CAUCGUGAGGUAGCAAUACCUUGAUGGCGACCGGCGCACGGGUGAGUAACGCGUAUGCAACCUGCCCGAUACCGGGGUAUAGCCCAUGGAAACGUGGAUUAACACCCCAUAGUACUUUUAUCCUGCAUGGGAUGUGAGUUAAAUGUUUAAGGUAUCGGAUGGGCAUGCGUCCUAUUAGUUAGUUGGCGGGGUAACAGCCCACCAAGACGAUGAUAGGUAGGGGUUCUGAGAGGAAGGUCCCCCACAUUGGAACUGAGACACGGUCCAAACUCCUACGGGAGGCAGCAGUGAGGAAUAUUGGUCAAUGGACGAGAGUCUGAACCAGCCAAGUCGCGUGAGGGAAGACUGCCCUAUGGGUUGUAAACCUCUUUUAUAAGGGAAGAAUAAGUUCUACGUGUAGAAUGAUGCCUGUACCUUAUGAAUAAGCAUCGGCUAACUCCGUGCCAGCAGCCGCGGUAAUACGGAGGAUGCGAGCGUUAUCCGGAUUUAUUGGGUUUAAAGGGUGCGUAGGCGGUUUAUUAAGUUAGUGGUUAAAUAUUUGAGCUAAACUCAAUUGUGCCAUUAAUACUGGUAAACUGGAGUACAGACGAGGUAGGCGGAAUAAGUUAAGUAGCGGUGAAAUGCAUAGAUAUAACUUAGAACUCCGAUAGCGAAGGCAGCUUACCAGACUGUAACUGACG
This 680-nucleotide ribosomal RNA is filed under the name uncultured Bacteroidales bacterium. RNAcentral describes it as "bacterial SSU rRNA". It matches the Rfam family "Bacterial small subunit ribosomal RNA", at positions 70 to 745 of the family's 1533-position model. The record is from RNAcentral. Lineage: Bacteria; Pseudomonadati; Bacteroidota; Bacteroidia; Bacteroidales.